Molecule: transfer RNA, 75 nt
Filed under: Phycisphaerales bacterium
Lineage: Bacteria; Pseudomonadati; Planctomycetota; Phycisphaerae; Phycisphaerales
Description: tRNA-Lys
Rfam family: tRNA
About the family: Transfer RNA (tRNA) molecules are approximately 80 nucleotides in length. Their secondary structure includes four short double-helical elements and three loops (D, anti-codon, and T loops).
Source: RNAcentral
GGGCCCCUAGCUCAGUGGUAGAGCACCUGACUUUUAAUCAGGGUGUCUUGGGUUCGAUCCCCAAGGGGCCCACCA